Molecule: ribosomal RNA, 392 nt
Filed under: uncultured bacterium
Lineage: Bacteria
Description: partial 16S ribosomal RNA
Rfam family: Bacterial small subunit ribosomal RNA
Source: RNAcentral
AUACGGAGGAUCCGAGCGUUAUCCGGAUUUAUUGGGUUUAAAGGGUGCGCAGGCGGCCAUUUAAGUCAGCGGUUAAAUCGUGGGGCUCAACCCCAUUCUGCCGUUGAUACUGGGUGGCUUGAUUGCGGUCGAGGUUGGCGGAAUUCGUUGUGUAGCGGUGAAAUGCAUAGAUAUGACGAAGAACACCGAUUGCGUAGGCAGCUGACCAGACCGCAAAUGACGCUCAUGCACGAAAGGGCGGGGAUCGAACAGGAUUAGAUACCCUGGUAGUCCGCACAGUAAACGAUGAAUACUUGUUUUCGGCGAUAUAAUGUCGGAGGCAAAGCGAAAGCGAUAAGUAUUCCACCUGGGGAGUACGCCGGCAACGGUGAAACUCAAAUGAAUUGGCGGGG